CUGGUCACGAAAGCGGAGGCGCCAGGUCGACCUACAGCGCAGGCGCAACCGGACGGCUCCUUCCGCCCUUACGGGGCAUGUGCAGAACUAGCUCAACCCCUCUGGUCUCCGCUCCGGGUUCCCGCUGCAGACAGCUGGGCGAAAAGCUGAGCUUUCACUAGCAGAUCCACAAAGAUCACUCUGGCUGUUUCAUGAUUGGUCUGCAGGGGAAAGAGAGGCAGCAAAGAAACCAGGAGGCCAUGUAGUCAGUACAGGAGAGAAAACGGCAGCUUGGAGUAGGGCGGCCAUGGGAGAAGGACUUGGAUGGAUUGAGACCUGAUUGUGAGAGACAGUACUUCAAAGACCUGAAAGAAAUUUGAUAGGGUUCUUGAGUGGAAUUUGUAAGACUGCAACCCACAACUCAUCUGUGCUCCAAAUUUUCACCUGUCUACGGUGGACUCAGGUUGGAAGUCUGGAACCUUAUCAAAAGAACCACAUGGCACUGAGAUGUUUCCUAGAAGUGCUCUCACUUCCUAGUGGAUGUGUUUCAUUGUAAUGCAGGAUCCAUCAAUGAUUCAGAGUACUGUGGUUUUGAAAUGAUUAAUAUGUAAUGGUUGUAACAGUGUGAGUCAUAUGAAGAAGGGGAAAAGGUGUGAGGAAAUAAAAACAUUAUAGGAAAGUACACCACGAAGCUGUGAACAUGAUUACUCAUGAAUAAGAGAGUAUAAUGAGUGUACAGACCUGGUCAUUCCUAUUUCCUCCUCAUCUGGAAAAUGCAAAUUACUAAUCUCACAGGAUAUAUGUAGUGAAUCACAUAUGAAAUUGUCAUGGAUUUUACUUUUAUUAUUCACUCAACAGACAUUUGUGGAACUCCCAAUAUGUGCUAGGUGUACAACUGAAUAGAUAGAUAGGUAGGGAAAUAGGUAGGUAGAUAGAUGAUUGAUUAGAUAGAUG
Manis pentadactyla (Chinese pangolin) is the source of this 933-nucleotide long non-coding RNA. RefSeq lists it as uncharacterized. NCBI's taxonomy places the organism in Eukaryota, Metazoa, Chordata, Mammalia, Pholidota, Manidae. The transcript has 4 exons. The record is from RefSeq and is a predicted model, not a curated record.